UGGGGAAUUUUGGACAAUGGGGGCAACCCUGAUCCAGCCAUUCCGCGUGAGUGAAGAAGGCCUUCGGGUUGUAAAGCUCUUUUGUCCGGAACGAAACGGUUAGCGUGAAUAUCGCUGACUACUGACGGUACCGGAAGAAUAAGCACCGGCUAACUCUGUGCCAGCAGCCGCGGUAAUACGGAGGGGGUUAGCGUUGUUCGGAAUUACUGGGCGUAAAGCGCGCGUAGGCGGAUUAGAAAGUUAGGGGUGAAAUCCCAGGGCUCAACCCUGGAACUGCCUCUAAAACUCCUAGUCUUGAGGUCGAGAGAGGUGAGUGGAAUUCCGAGUGUAGAGGUGAAAUUCGUAGAUAUUCGGAGGAACACCAGUGGCGAAGGCGGCUCACUGGCUCGAUACUGACGCUGAGGUGCGAAAGCGUGGGGAGCGAACAGGAUUAGAUACCC
This 440-nucleotide ribosomal RNA is filed under the name uncultured bacterium. RNAcentral describes it as "bacterial SSU rRNA". It matches the Rfam family "Bacterial small subunit ribosomal RNA", at positions 355 to 787 of the family's 1533-position model. The record is from RNAcentral.